Molecule: non-coding RNA, 3421 nt
Organism: Macaca mulatta (Rhesus monkey)
Lineage: Eukaryota; Metazoa; Chordata; Mammalia; Primates; Cercopithecidae
Source: RefSeq, a predicted model, not a curated record
CCUCCCAAAGUGCUAGGAUUACAGGCGUGAGCCACAGUGCCCGGCCAAGAAUGUGCAUUUCUAACCAGUUCCUAGGUCAUGCCGACGCCCGUGCUGCUGACCUGCGGACCACACAUUGAGAACUACUGGCUUCAGGCUGUUUCCUAUGCCUGGAACGCCUUUUAAAUUGCAGCUGUUUUGCAAAGAUCAGCUCAAAUGCAACCUCAAUGAUGCUUUAUGAACUGGGCACCUGCUAUAUACCAGACACUGUAAAGGCAUUGAGGAUACAAUUUGGUGGACGAAACAGACACAUUGUCAUUCCUUGUGAAGCUUUCAGUCUAGUGGGGACAUGGACAAUGAACAAUUAAAAAAUAUAAGUACAAAUUGUGAUGGGUAUGAUAAAGGACAUCAUGAGAAAAUUAAAAGUGGAGUCUACUCAAGUUGGGGAGGUUAGGAAAAGCGUCUCUAAGGAGAGACAUUUAAGCUGAGAUCACGAUAAGAGAAAGUCAUCCUGGAAAGAACAAGGAAAAGAUUCUUUCAGGCAGAGGGAAGAAUUGUGCAAAAGCCUUGGAGUAGGAAAGAGUGUGUUGCAUUUGAGGGGUGAAGAAAGGCCAGUGUGGUUGGAGCAAAGGAAGAGGACAUGAUACAAGGUGAGUAUGGUGAUGUAGGUAGAGGAUAGGUCACAGAUUACAUUGUUGGCCCCAACUCUUAACCCCUCCCUGCAUUCACAGCCUUGCCUCAGUGUCAUUAUGGGUAUAGAUACACACAUUGGCCUUGGCCACAGGAUUUACCUUGGCCAACUGACAUUCCUAUAGAAGUUCCAGCCUAGGCCUUGAGAAGAUUUAUAUAUUUUAAAUUGCUAUCUUGUUUCUGCCAGCAUCACCAGCAAAAAAUGUCAAGGCUAAUGUGCUGGUCCAAAGCAUGCAGAACGGUUGUUAGCCUAAAUCAGCUGAUCCAGCUGACAGAUGGACAAGCGAUAAUAUGUUACUGUUGUUGUUAGCCCACUGUGUUUUGGAAUGGCUUGUUUUGGGGUUGUUUUGUUACACAAUAGUAGCUGACUAAGACUAACAACAAUGAGAAAUUUAAGCUUUAUUCUAAGUACAACGGGAUGUCAUUGAAAGUGUUUAACUAGAAGAGUGACAUGAUCUGAUUUUGAUUGCAAAUUAUCUCUCUCUGGCUGCUGUGAGGAGGGUAAGGUGUAUGGGGGAGGCAAGAGACCACCCUAAGCCAUGUGUCCAGACUCGGAGCCCAGCACAGCACCUGGCAUAGUAGAGGUGCUCAGGAGCUGUUGUUCAGCCCUCCGUAGCUGGAAUGAACCCACCCUUCCCUGUAUCCCCCAGUACUCUCUUUGGUCCCUCUUACCUGUGACUUGGUGGUAACAGUGCUCAUUAUACUCCUAUUACUAGAUUUGGGAUUCUUGAGGGUAGAGACCUAGGUCCUUCUAUAUAUCUCCUGGGCCCCUGUAUUCUGUGUAGGCUCAGCUCGGAGCAGAAGUCAAUAACCACACUGAAAUUAAUUAAUAUAAAGGGUUUCUCUACAGCUGCUACAAGUUGGAUUUUCACUUCAGUGGUCUCUAACGGAUCCAGACACUUAAGUGACUUCUACCAGGUCAUGGGGUGGCUUCCUUUAAAACCUCAUCAGCAAAGAGGCACCGCUUGAGUGGUUCCCCUUUAGUCCUAAGAUGCAUGGAAGCAGAUAUUGCAGAGAGAGCUCUGAGGCACGGAGCAACUCCUCUAUGAAGGCUUGAAAAACUGGGCAGGAAAGCCAGCUGGAGCCUAUUUACAAACCUUUCUUAAAAAACUAACAAACAUGAGUAAACUCCCUGUGGCAGGAACACCUGUUCUGUGGGGACGUUUCCUAACAUUUUACUUCAAAAUCUCUGGAAAGCAAAAGCAGCCUGUACAUACACUCUCAAACUUAAAUAAGCAAAUCUACUUUUUUUGGACGAAUUUUGACUACCCUGGUUCUCACACUAUUUACCCAUGAGGCCCAGAGUAUUUAACAAAAAAAAUUUUAUGACUUACACUAGGAUUAUAUCCCCAAAGAGCAGGCCAAAAAUGGGGAUAGACUGGAUCCUUCUAUCCCUGGGAAUUUUACAGAAAGACAAAAGCUCUUUUGUCUUGUAUUAGUUGGUCUGGCUCAAAGGCAGAAACAUCCCCCAGAUAGCCUCUGUUGAGCUGCCUGUUUCAGGAAAUGAGCUUUAACUAGUUCAGUAGUUCAACCCAGUGCUUCAGAAUUUGCUGAGUGUCUAAUAUGCACCCCUUCCCUGGCUAGGCAGUGAUAGGUGGCAAAGAUGCCUAAAUGCCAUUUUGGCCUCAUCAGUUUAAGCUUGGUGAGGCAAUACAUUCAUUUUUAGAGGAAUUAUUUAGAGUCAGUUUCUCUGACUAGGUUGAGCAGGGGCUGGGUGUGUUUUUUCUACAGCAUGGCAUUUCCAAUGCCUAAUACAAUGUCUGGCAGCACUUAGUAGGUGCUCACUAAAAUUUGUUUUAUAAUCAAGGUAUAAUCUACAUAUGGUGAAAUGGACAGAUCUUAUGGGUACAUUCCUGAUGACUUUUGGCAGAUGUGCAGCCAACACCCUAAUCAAGAUCUACAGCAGCACUGUCCCACUGAAAUAUAAUGUGAGCCACACAGCAUCGCAUUAACCAGCAGCUGCAUUUACCUGGACCGUACAUCAGCCCGAGCCUCUCUCCAGUGAAGAGGUGGGUCGUGCCAGGGGGACCAUUCAUCACACCCGCCCAGCUGCUGGAGGCUCUCCUGGACUUUGGUGUCUUAGGCCAGAGCUGUCACAAUCAUCCCACAUUUACCUUGUCCCUGUGAGGGGAGGGAGUUCCAAGUACUCUCUGGCCUUGAGAAACGGCCCCUGAUAUUCCCUUGCUUCAGCUAUGACAUCUCUGUAGCAUCACAAUCUAUGCAACUUGGAUAGAGAGAGGCUUUGGGUCACACCAUCAAAUCUGAUUGAAAUUCAUCUUUAAUCAGUCAUAUUGCUGUUGUAUCUGGAGCUGACCUGGAAGCCUGAGUACACGUGGUCUUAUUUACUUCUGACACCAACCCAGCUACCCCCAUUUCAGGGAUUACAAAAUGGAGCACUGACUUGCUCAGGGUUACUUAUGCUGCAGAAAAGAGGGAGACCCAGGGUCCGAACUUGGAUCUCCUGACUCCAACUCCAAUGCUCAUGCCACAAAGCCAGCUGCCUCAGUGAGCUGCUUCCUGGCUGGAUGCCUGGUUUCUCAGGGUACCGGCUUGCUUUGAAUGUCCUGUCUCCCUUUGCCUCCCUAGAGGGUGGCUUAUUUCUUUAAGCUCAAGAAGAGAAAAAAUAAAAAAGGAGAUGGUGAAAUAAAUUUAUUGCCAUGUUAGAAACAUUGGAUUGAAGAAUUGGUCCCUACGGCUAAGUAAUUUCCCUCUUUCGUGCAAAAUAUAAAUAAAUCUGUAUGGCUUACGCUGA